This 471-nucleotide ribosomal RNA is filed under the name uncultured bacterium. RNAcentral describes it as "bacterial SSU rRNA". It matches the Rfam family "Bacterial small subunit ribosomal RNA", at positions 29 to 484 of the family's 1533-position model. The record is from RNAcentral.
AACGAACGCUGGCGGCGUGCCUAACACAUGCAAGUCGAACGUGAAAAGGCUUCGGCCUGAGUAAAGUGGCGCACGGGUGAGUAACGCGUGGGUAAUCUGCCUCUGGGCGGGGGAUAACGGGUCGAAAGACCCGCUAAUACCGCAUGAGACCACGGCCCUGUGGGGCUGUGGGAAAAGAUGGGGAUCUUCGGACCUGUCACCUGGAGAUGAGCCCGCGUACCAUUAGGUAGUUGGUGGGGGUAAUGGCCCACCAAGCCGAAGAUGGUUAGCUGGUCUGAGAGGAUGAUCAGCCACACUGGAACUGAGACACGGUCCAGACUCCUACGGGAGGCAGCAGUGGGGAAUAUUGCGCAAUGGGGGAAACCCUGACGCAGCAACGCCGCGUGUGUGAUGAAGGCCUUCGGCGUAAAGCACUGUGAGGUGGAACGAGCCGCCGGGGGUUAAUACCCUCCGGCCCGACGGUACCACCAG